Molecule: long non-coding RNA, 828 nt
Filed under: Anas platyrhynchos platyrhynchos (common mallard)
Lineage: Eukaryota; Metazoa; Chordata; Aves; Anseriformes; Anatidae
Description: lncRNA (ENSAPLG00000022494.1)
Source: RNAcentral
UAGGUUGAAAUAAUAGUUUUGGGACCAUCAACAUUAAAAUUUCAUUAUGAUGGGACAAAAAGGCUCAUGUAUAAUCAAUAGUAAGAAUCCAUUAUUAUUGACUUGAAAUGAAUGAAGCAUGAACACAUUUGUGCAGAUACGAACAGUUAGCAAUCUUUUGAAUAAUAAAGAAUUAACACUACACAGAUAAUGUCAUUCUGGGAAUUGGACUCGAACUUAAAUUGGUACAUGUCUCUUUGUUAUGAAGUCUGAUUCACAUCCCUUGGUAACUCCCAUUAAGCUGUUUCUCAAAAUAACGUGUCUACAAUUUUGUAUUCUCAGAUCUGUUUUGUGAGGGAGGUGGCUGAGCAGCUCGGGGUUGUGGUGGAGUGUGCUUGGUCAGUCUCUGGAUUUGGUGGUGCCACUGAGAGCAUGACUGCACAGGGAUGCUGUUGAUGCAGUGGCCAUGACUGCAUGGGAGCAGGCUGGGAGUGUGCUAUGGUUUUCUCCUGUCCUGCCUUGGGGCAGUGCUUUAGCACAGUGGUGUGUUGCUGCCUGCAUUGCAGCUGCCAGGUUGCAAGAGCUGCUUUUCAGAGGUAAGAGAGGAGAAUAAUUGAGACACAAAGGACAGUAAUCCAGCUGAGCAGCCCAUCUGUUCCUGGGAGGAGCACAGAAAGGAAGGAAGGUACCACCAGUAGGGCCUUUAGAUUCUGUUCUCUUUGCCUUGCAGUUGGGGAAUAUAAAAAUCGGACCCUGUCCUUGGAGAAAGGGAAGUUUAUACUGGUUUAUUUCCAAUACAGCCUUCUUCGAGAAGGGGGCUAGAAGAGGGAAGCCCUUACCAUUUACAGA